Molecule: unclassified non-coding RNA, 343 nt
Filed under: soil metagenome
Description: partial contains 5.8S ribosomal RNA, internal transcribed spacer 2, and large subunit ribosomal RNA
Rfam family: 5.8S ribosomal RNA (bases 1-120)
Source: RNAcentral
GAUGAAGAACGUAGCGAAAUGCGAUAAGUAAUGUGAAUUGCAGAAUUCAGUGAAUCAUCGAAUCUUUGAACGCACAUUGCGCCCGCCAGCAUUCUGGCGGGCAUGCCUGUUCGAGCGUCAUUUCAACCCUCGAGCCCCCCCGUGGGCCUCGGUGUUGGGGGACGGCACACCAGCCGCCCCCGAAAUGCAGUGGCGACCCCGCCGCAGCCUCCCCUGCGUAGUAGCACACACCUCGCACCGGAGCGCGGAGGCGGUCACGCCGUAAAACGCCCAACUUUCUUAGAGUUGACCUCGGAUCAGGUAGGAAUACCCGCUGAACUUAAGCAUAUCAAUAAGCGGAGGA